UACGGGGGGGGCAAGCGUUGUUCGGAAUUACUGGGCGUAAAGGGCUCGUAGGCGGCCAACUAAGUCAUACGUGAAAUCCCUCGGCUUAACCUGGGAACUGCGUCUGAUACUGGGAGGCUUGAGUAUGGGAGAGGGAUGUAGAAUUCCAGGUGUAGCGGUGAAAUGCGUAGAUAUCUGGAGGAAUACCGGUGGCGAAGGCGGCAUCCUGGACCAUUACUGACGCUGAGGCGCGAAAGCUAGGGGAGCAAACGGG
This 253-nucleotide ribosomal RNA is filed under the name uncultured bacterium. RNAcentral's name for it is "partial 16S ribosomal RNA". It matches the Rfam family "Bacterial small subunit ribosomal RNA", at positions 524 to 776 of the family's 1533-position model. The record is from RNAcentral.